GCAUGACUAAGGAUCUUGCUCAGAUCCAGUUGUUCUCUGUCGAUUCAUUUGCUAGCUCUUUUCCAUAUGCUACACUAUGGGGUUCCAGAUUAAAGUCCUGAACUUACUGCUUCCUAGAUUGUGAUUUUGAGCAAGAUAACUACUUUUUUACACCUUUUUUUUCUUCUAACAUGGAGGUCAAUAUAAAGCACAACUGUGUGACAUUAUCGUGAAGGAUAAAUAAGGCAGAACUGAGAGGUGCUCCAUGCUGCUGCCUCACUGGAUCAUCUGGCAGGUACUGCUGAGGCCUACUCAGUGAGUGACCACACUCAAUGAGCCAUCAUGAUGGAGAUGGACCAAAGACCUUAACAGACACCUCACCAAAGAAGAUGUGCAGAUGACAUAGAAAAAGACACUCCGCAUCAUAUGUCAUCAAGGAAAUGCAAAGGGAAACAAUAAUGAGGUCCCGCUACACACCUAUUAGAAUGGCCAAAAUCUAGAAUACUGAGAGCAUCGAAUGCUGGUAAGGAUAUGGAGCAACAGGAAUUCUCAUUCAGUCCUGCUGGGAAUGAGAAUAGUAUAGUCAGUUUCGAAGACAUUUUAGUAGUUUUUAAAAAACUAAACGUACUCUUAUGAUAUGAUCCAGCAAUCACACUUUUGGUAAUUGCCCAAAAGAAUUGAAAACUUACAUUUUCACAUAAGUACACAAAAAUUUGUACCAAGAUAUUUAUUGAUGUGUACACACAAGUACACAGAAACUUGUACACAGAUAUUUAUAGAGGCUUUAUUCAUAGUUGCCAAGAUAUCCUUCACUAUGUGACUGGAUAAAUAAACUGAUACAUACAGAUAAGAUAAUACCGUUUAGCAUUAAAAAGAAAUGAACUAUCAAAAAUGAAAAGACAUGGAGGAAACUUAAAUGUGUAUUAUUAAGUGAAAGAAGCCAAUCUGAAAAAGGUACAUAGUGUAUAAUUCCAAAUAUAAGACAUUCUGGAAAAAGCAAAACUAUGGACACAAUGAAAAGAUCAGUCAAUUGAAAUAAAUAAAUAUGUUUUUAAAAAUCAGUGGUUUCCAGGUAUUAGAGAGAAGAUAGGGAUGAAUCGGCAGAGCACAGAGAACUUUUAAGUCAGGGAAACUUCUUUGUAUAAUAUUCUACAGUGGUACAUGUCAUUAAAAAUUUGUUUAAUCUCACAGAUUGUACAGCAUCAAACGUGAAUGCUAAAAUAAACUGUGGAAUCUUGGGUGAUAAUGAUAUGUCAAUGCAGAUUCAUCAGUUGUAACAUAUGUACCACUCUAGUGGGGAAUGGUUAUAAUGGGGAAGGCUAUGCAUACAUAGGGGCAGAAGGUAAAUGGGAAAUUUCUGUAUCUUCUGUUCAAUUUUGCUGUAAACGUAAAAUUGCUCUAAAAAUAGCCUAAGACUGGUUUUAUAAUAACAGUAGGCCAUUAUUCAUAUUAGCAUUAUCAUUAUAGUCAUGAAUACAGUCUUCUCUUGACUAUAGGGAACACAGUGCUUUUAGAUUUCCUAGCAUCCAUUUAGCUUCCAUUUUAAAAAUAGAACAACACUAAGAACUUCUAUAUUAUAUGCACUAUGAAGCCAUAUAUUGUAGCUCAUUAAUUUAUUUGGUAAUAAAGUGCUAAUUAGUGAUAUAACACUGACUCAAACAAGUUAGCUGAAUGGUUUUAAUAAUCAUAGAACACACCCUGAAUCUCCAUCAGACUUAUUUUAUUCAUUCAGUUGGUCAAAAGAAGAAAUAGAACAAAUGUGAUGAAUGAAAACACAUCCAUAAAUUAUACUAGAAAAAAUAGCUCAAAAUAUAUGUCUAGCAGAGUUAUUCAGUGCUGUUAACUCCAACUUCCUUAUUAGCAUUUCAUUACUACAUAAUACAGUUGAAUUCAAUCCUCGAGCUGGUUUUGCUUUAUUUGAUGGUUAUAUCAGGGAUACAUAUUCUAGUGCAUCCAAUAGGAAGCCACAUUAGCACAUUGGACCUUGAUGAACUUAAUCUAAAAUUAUAAUCUUCAAUAACCUUGUAAUACUACAUAGAAUAUAACUGAGCCAAUAAAACAUACUUAUUUUUGUUUACCUUUCAAUUUACACAUAAGUUAAAUCUACAUUUUAUCUAAUUAAAACCAGAUUGUUGGACUCUCAAAUGCCUUGAGAAAUCUAUCACUUAUUGAAGUGCAUGGCACUUUUAAAACAUAAAUGAAAACUUCAGAGAAUUACAAUUUAUAUUACACAAAUACAACUUCUGUCAAUUCUGUCACAGUCUAAACAUAACCAGCUGCCUCUGCAAUGAUAUCAAGUGGCAAUUAAAAUAGCACCAGUAAUGUUACACUACAGUGAGGUGCAGAAAAUAUUUUGUCUGGUAAAAGCAAGAAUUAUAUUUAGAUGGUUGAGAUUCAUGUUCCAUAUUAAAAGAACAAAUGUUCUGAAAGAUUAGUCUUUGGUGCCAUCAUGUCUAUUUGUGCAUAAUCUUGGACACAGGGUGGCUUGCAUGAGCCAGAUAUCUGUCUUGUUCAACUUUAGUCCGCUAAGCCGUGGUCUCCAAGUAUCUUCUGCAGACCAUUAGUUCAAUGAAAUACUAAUAGGAAUUUUGUCAAAAAAUAAGUUCUAUGAUCACAUAGGAUUUGGAAAUGCUAUGUUAAGCUUGCACAUUUUUCUCUCCAAUGAAUUGUCAACUCUUUAAUGUACUCACAUGCAUUAUGGAUUUUUUAGAGAAAAUGCAUAACUUCCCCCAAAUUAUUUAAUUAUAGAACACAUGCCAGAAUAACCAUUAACUUUUAGAUAAAAUAUAUGUUUGGGACAAGCAAAGUUGGAAAAAAUUGUUUUGUUAUCUGAUAUUUGCUUAAGGCAUCAAAGAAGUUAACACCAGGAAAAAUAAAAAUUUGGUUGGAUUGGUUACAUUUGUUCCACGUCUAAUGUGUU
RNAcentral lists this long non-coding RNA (2899 nucleotides) under Homo sapiens (human). RNAcentral describes it as "HSALNT0093462". The record is from RNAcentral. Lineage: Eukaryota; Metazoa; Chordata; Mammalia; Primates; Hominidae.